RNAcentral lists this long non-coding RNA (590 nucleotides) under Setaria viridis. RNAcentral describes it as "long non-coding RNA (SVIR_LNC010426)". Lineage: Eukaryota; Viridiplantae; Streptophyta; Magnoliopsida; Poales; Poaceae. The record is from RNAcentral.
GGACUUUUUUGAAUAUUUUAGAUUAAAAUGGGUUAAAAUAAUUCUUUAAAAAACCUAGUAAUAUGCACCAUGUAAUUGGUGGUUGGAUGCAGCAGUGCAAUAAUACUACCAAGGCUCAACACUUAGGAGGGGUAGGGGCAGUUUUUUGGUCCAUAUGGUUGUCUCGUAAUGAUAUUGUCUUCAUUAAACGUUCUAAUGUCACUCUAAUCCUCGCAAUUUUCAGGUGGAUUUAUUGGCUACGCUUUUGGAGAUUGGUGCAAAGAGAGGACCAACAGGAGGAUGUACUAAAGACAUGCCAAGAAAUAUUCUAUUAUUUCUUAUUAAGGCAUAUUAAGUAUUUGAAAAAGUCUGACUUCAUAAGUUUUGAUCAACGAUUAGUUAAAUAGUAUCUAUGCUUAGUGGAAAUGAGUUAUACAGCUAUUUCACAUAUUUUCAAUAUGAUAUUAAUUUUAUAAUAAUUGAUAAUGUAUUCCAAGAUAAAUCAAUGGUCAAUUUUUUUUCCAAAUACGUGGAAUCUAUUUUUUUGAAACACACAAACGAUCACAAAUACACGCACACUCACCCCUAUAAAAUACGCACGCAACCCUACC